AUACGGAGGGUGCAAGCGUUAUCCGGAAUCAUUGGGUUUAAAGGGUCCGCAGGCGGAUUAAUAAGUCAGUGGUGAAAUCCUCUCGCUUAACGAGAGAACUGCCAUUGAAACUGUUAGUCUUGAAUUCGAUCGAAGUAGGCGGAAUGUGUCAUGUAGCGGUGAAAUGCAUAGAUAUGACACAGAACACCGAUAGCGAAGGCAGCUUACUAGACCCGGAUUGACGCUCAUGGACGAAAGCGAGGGGAGCGAACAGGAUUAGAAACCCCAGUAGUCC
This 274-nucleotide ribosomal RNA is filed under the name uncultured bacterium. RNAcentral's name for it is "partial 16S ribosomal RNA". It matches the Rfam family "Bacterial small subunit ribosomal RNA", at positions 523 to 796 of the family's 1533-position model. The record is from RNAcentral.